AUUGAACGCUGGCGGCAGGCUUAACACAUGCAAGUCGAGCGGGGUGAUGGUGCUUGCACUAUCACUUAGCGGCGGACGGGUGAGUAAUGCUUAGGAAUCUGCCUAUUAGUGGGGGACAACAUCUCGCAAGGGAUGCUAAUACCGCAUACGUCCUACGGGAGAAAGCAGGGGAUCACUUUUGACCUUGCGCUAAUAGAUGAGCCUAAGUCGGAUUAGAUAUUUGGUGGGGUAAAGGCCUACUAAGGCGACGAUCUGUGGCGGGUUUGAGAGGAUGAUCCGCCACACUGGGACUGAGACACGGCCCAGACUCCUACGGGAGGCAGCAGUGGGGAAUAUUGGACAAUGGGCGAAAGCCUGAUCCAGCAAUGCCGCGUGAGUGAUGAAGGCCUUCGGGUUGUAAAGCCCUGUCGGAAGGAAAGAAAAAGCCAGCUAAUCACUGGUAUUGACGGUACCUUCAAAGGAAGCACCGGCUAACUCUGUGCCAGCCGCCGCGGUAA
Molecule: ribosomal RNA, 497 nt
Filed under: uncultured bacterium
Lineage: Bacteria
Description: partial 16S ribosomal RNA
Rfam family: Bacterial small subunit ribosomal RNA
Source: RNAcentral